This 253-nucleotide ribosomal RNA is filed under the name uncultured bacterium. Its description in RNAcentral is "partial 16S ribosomal RNA". It matches the Rfam family "Bacterial small subunit ribosomal RNA", at positions 524 to 776 of the family's 1533-position model. The record is from RNAcentral.
UACGUAGGGUGCAAGCAUUGUCCGGAAUUAUUGGGCGUAAAGAGCUCGUAGGCGGUCUGUCGCGUCGGCUGUGAAAACUCGGGGCUCAACUCCGAGCUUGCAGUCGAUACGGGCAGGCUAGAGUUCGGCAGGGGAGACUGGAAUUCCUGGUGUAGCGGUGAAAUGCGCAGAUAUCAGGAGGAACACCGGUGGCGAAGGCGGGUCUCUGGGCCGAUACUGACGCUGAGGAGCGAAAGCGUGGGGAGCGAACAGG